GUCCUUCUAGGGUGGGGAUACGCCCGGAAGAAACGUCCGGUAUUAAUACCGCAGUACGUCCGUACGGGGGAAAGCCGGGGAUCUUCGGACCUGGCGCUAGUAGAUGAGCCCGCGUGAGAUUAGCUUGUUGGUGGGGUAAUGGCCUACCAAGGCAACGAUCUCUAGCUGGUCUGAGAGGACGAUCAGCCACACUGGGACUGAGACACGGCCCAGACUCCUACGGGAGGCAGCAGUGGGGAAUAUUGGACAAUGGGCGAAAGCCUGAUCCAGCAAUGCCGCGUGUGUGAAGAAGGCCUGAGGGUUGUAAAGCACUUUCAAUCGUGAAGAAAAGUUGCAGGCUAAUACCCUGUGACCUUGACGUUAACGAUACAAGAAGCACCGGCUAACUCCGUG
RNAcentral lists this ribosomal RNA (393 nucleotides) under uncultured bacterium. Its description in RNAcentral is "bacterial SSU rRNA". It matches the Rfam family "Bacterial small subunit ribosomal RNA", at positions 127 to 507 of the family's 1533-position model. The record is from RNAcentral.